Long non-coding RNA from Magnolia sinica, 1308 nucleotides. RefSeq lists it as uncharacterized. The transcript has 2 exons. The record is from RefSeq and is a predicted model, not a curated record. NCBI's taxonomy places the organism in Eukaryota, Viridiplantae, Streptophyta, Magnoliopsida, Magnoliales, Magnoliaceae.
AAGAGCUUCAAUGAUUUCAUGGAUGAUUGGUGGUUGAUCGAUAUCCCAAUGCAAGUUACGAAGUUCACCUGGUUAAACAAACAAGAUUGCCUUGUUAUGUGCUGUUUAUAUAGAUUUUUGGUCUUAACCUUGUGGGAAGCAGUGUUUCAUGAUGUGAACCUCAAGAUCCGGCUCAAUCAUAUGUCUGAUCAUAAGCCUCUUUGCCUUUCUUCCCACUUGGAAUCCUGUGACUUCAAACCUUUCCCAUCCAAGUCAAUGUGGUUUAACAUCCCUCCUUUGCCUUGGCAGUUCAGGGAUGGUAGGAGUCCUGUGAAUGUUCACGGAUCAAUGCCUUGGGGCCUUGGAGGCAAGCUUAGGAACCUCAAAGGCCAUUUGAAGGGAUGGGCAAAGAUAUUUUUGGGACAAAAGGGUGGCGAAAAGUCAAGUGAGUUGGUGCAGUUGAACCAGGAGGCAGAAGGCCCAAGGGUCUUCCCCAGCAGAUGCUGGAGCCUUUAAGAAAGGAGGAGAUUGCUGAUGAAUUGAAGUCUCUAGAGGAGAGGAGUUCUUCUGGAUGCAAGAAUCCAGAGACAGAUGAGUGAAGGUAAAUAGAGAAUCUUCCUAUUUCCGUAGGGUGGCCAGUGCCAGGAGGACAAAUCGGAUCACCGCUAUUAAAAUUGGGAUGGUUUGCUGCUGUGUAAGGAAGAAAUCUGUGACCACUUCAUUAAAAUUUUCCAGGCAGCCUUCGCUGAGGAUACCCUUUCGAGACCAUUGCUUAGUGGUCCUUCUUUCGAUCAGAACUCUUACCUCAGCUUUGCAGCUUGAAGAGGCCUUUUCCCUUGAAGAGGUUGAGGCAACAAUCCUUGAUGUAGAUGGAGAUACGACCCUGGCAAGGGGGACUAGAUUGCAAGCAGCUUGACCUCAUCCCGGUUUUGUUUUUCUGAAAGGACAUGGGCAUGGAAAUUAAAAUUUUACGUUGACAUGUCAACAAUUGAUCACGCCACGAGUGCGAAAAUAGGAUUUCUGCUCUUGCAUGAUGCCAAAAUGACAUAAUCUUUCCCUUACCUUGACUUUCUGAGCUACCUAAUCACCUCCUCACUUAUUUUUAUUCGCGCCCCCCCCCCCUUUUUUUUUAAGUGAUGUGUCCCCCAUGCACCUUCACCCUUAAAAGUCUUCAAAAUUACCAACAAAGUCAUCCCAAGGUCUUAUGGGGCUGUGCAUGGGUCCCUAAGCACCAAAGGUCCUACGGAGUUGUUCCAUGUGUCCUAAUGUACCUUUGCCCUAAAACUAACCUAAAUUUACCCAAAGUCCUCUCUCAAUUCUGUAAACAAA